Molecule: ribosomal RNA, 460 nt
Filed under: uncultured bacterium
Lineage: Bacteria
Description: partial 16S ribosomal RNA
Rfam family: Bacterial small subunit ribosomal RNA
Source: RNAcentral
CCUACGGGAGGCAGCAGUGAGGAAUAUUGGUCAAUGGGCGCGAGCCUGAACCAGCCAAGUAGCGUGAAGGAUGACUGCACUGCGGGUUGUAAACUUCUUUUAUAAGGGAAUAAAGUCUGGCACGUGUGCCUUUUUGUAUGUACCUUAUGAAUAAGGAUCGGCUAACUCCGUGCCAGCAGCCGCGGUAAUACGGAGGAUCCGAGCGUUAUCCGGAUUUAUUGGGUUUAAAGGGAGCGUAGAUGGGUUGUUAAGUCAGUUGUGAAAGUUUGCGGCUCAACCGUAAAAUUGCAAUUGAUACUGGCAGCCUUGAGUACAGUUGAGGUAUGCGGAAUGCGUGGUGUAGCGGUGAAAUGCUUAGAUAUCACGAAGAACUCCGAUUGCGAAGGCAGCUUACUAACCUGACACUGACAUUGAUGCUCGAAAGUGUGGGUAUCAAACAGGAUUAGAUACCCGAGUAGUC